AAAUUGAAGAGUUUGAUCAUGGCUCAGAUUGAACGCUGGCGGCAGGCCUAACACAUGCAAGUCGAACGGUAACAGGAAGCAGCUUGCUGCUUUGCUGACGAGUGGCGGACGGGUGAGUAAUGUCUGGGAAACUGCCUGAUGGAGGGGGAUAACUACUGGAAACGGUGGCUAAUACCGCAUAACGUCGCAAGACCAAAGAGGGGGACCUUCAGGCCUCUUGCCAUCAGAUGUGCCCAGAUGGGAUUAGCUUGUUGGUGAGGUAACGGCUCACCAAGGCGACGAUCCCUAGCUGGUCUGAGAGGAUGACCAGCCACACUGGAACUGAGACACGGUCCAGACUCCUACGGGAGGCAGCAGUGGGGAAUAUUGCACAAUGGGCGCAAGCCUGAUGCAGCCAUGCCGCGUGUAUGAAGAAGGCCUUCGGGUUGUAAAGUACUUUCAGCGGGGAGGAAGGUGUUGUGGUUAAUAACCGCAGCAAUUGACGUUACCCGCAGAAGAAGCACCGGCUAACUCCGUGCCAGCAGCCGCGGUAAUACGGAGGGUGCAAGCGUUAAUCGGAAUUACUGGGCGUAAAGCGCACGCAGGCGGUCUGUCAAGUCGGAUGUGAAAUCCCCGGGCUCAACCUGGGAACUGCAUUCGAAACUGGCAGGCUUGAGUCUUGUAGAGGGGGGUAGAAUUCCAGGUGUAGCGGUGAAAUGCGUAGAGAUCUGGAGGAAUACCGGUGGCGAAGGCGGCCCCCUGGACAAAGACUGACGCUCAGGUGCGAAAGCGUGGGGAGCAAACAGGAUUAGAUACCCUGGUAGUCCACGCCGUAAACGAUGUCUACUUGGAGGUUGUGCCCUUGAGGCGUGGCUUCCGGAGCUAACGCGUUAAGUAGACCGCCUGGGGAGUACGGCCGCAAGGUUAAAACUCAAAUGAAUUGACGGGGGCCCGCACAAGCGGUGGAGCAUGUGGUUUAAUUCGAUGCAACGCGAAGAACCUUACCUGGUCUUGACAUCCACGGAAGAAUUCAGAGAUGGAUUUGUGCCUUCGGGAACCGUGAGACAGGUGCUGCAUGGCUGUCGUCAGCUCGUGUUGUGAAAUGUUGGGUUAAGUCCCGCAACGAGCGCAACCCUUAUCCUUUGUUGCCAGCGGUCCGGCCGGGAACUCAAAGGAGACUGCCAGUGAUAAACUGGAGGAAGGUGGGGAUGACGUCAAGUCAUCAUGGCCCUUACGACCAGGGCUACACACGUGCUACAAUGGCGCAUACAAAGAGAAGCGACCUCGCGAGAGCAAGCGGACCUCAUAAAGUGCGUCGUAGUCCGGAUUGGAGUCUGCAACUCGACUCCAUGAAGUCGGAAUCGCUAGUAAUCGUGGAUCAGAAUGCCACGGUGAAUACGUUCCCGGGCCUUGUACACACCGCCCGUCACACCAUGGGAGUGGGUUGCAAAAGAAGUAGGUAGCUUAACCUUCGGGAGGGCGCUUACCACUUUGUGAUUCAUGACUGGGGUGAAGUCGUAACAAGGUAACCGUAGGGGAACCUGCGGUUGGAUCACCUCCUUACCUUAAAGAAGC
RNAcentral lists this ribosomal RNA (1554 nucleotides) under Salmonella enterica subsp. enterica serovar Gaminara str. SA20063285. Its description in RNAcentral is "bacterial SSU rRNA". It matches the Rfam family "Bacterial small subunit ribosomal RNA". Lineage: Bacteria; Pseudomonadati; Pseudomonadota; Gammaproteobacteria; Enterobacterales; Enterobacteriaceae. The record is from RNAcentral.